RNAcentral lists this ribosomal RNA (491 nucleotides) under uncultured bacterium. RNAcentral's name for it is "partial 16S ribosomal RNA". It matches the Rfam family "Bacterial small subunit ribosomal RNA", at positions 28 to 507 of the family's 1533-position model. The record is from RNAcentral.
GAUGAACGCUGGCUACAGGCUUAACACAUGCAAGUCGAGGGGAAACGACGGGGAAGCUUGCUUCCCCGGGCGUCGACCGGCGCACGGGUGAGUAACGCGUAUCCAACCUGCCUCUGACUGAGGGAUAACCCGUCGAAAGUCGGCCUAAUACCUCAUGGCAUCGUCUGCGGGCAUCCAACGACGAUUAAAGAUUUCAUCGGUCAGGGAUGGGGAUGCGUCUGAUUAGCUAGUUGGCGGGGUAACGGCCCACCAAGGCGACGAUCAGUAGGGGUUCUGAGAGGAAGGUCCCCCACAUUGGAACUGAGACACGGUCCAAACUCCUACGGGAGGCAGCAGUGAGGAAUAGUGGUCAAUGGGCGAGAGCCUGAACCAGCCAAGUAGCGUGCAGGAUGACGGCCCUAUGGGUUGUAAACUGCUUUUAUGCGGGGAUAAAGUGAGGGACGUGUCCUUCAUUGCAGGUACCGCAUGAAUAAGAACCGGCUAAUUCCGUG